Molecule: RNase P RNA, 256 nt
Filed under: Variovorax paradoxus S110
Lineage: Bacteria; Pseudomonadati; Pseudomonadota; Betaproteobacteria; Burkholderiales; Comamonadaceae
Description: RNA component of RNaseP
Rfam family: Bacterial RNase P class A
About the family: Ribonuclease P (RNase P) is a ubiquitous endoribonuclease, found in archaea, bacteria and eukarya as well as chloroplasts and mitochondria.
Source: RNAcentral
GAGGAACGUCCGGACUGCACAGGACAGCGCAGGAGUUAACGACUCUCCACCGUGAGGUGAGGAUCAGAGCAACAGAGACGAGCCGAUUCAGUUCGGGUGAAACGGGCAAUCUCUGCGCGCAGCAACACCAAGUAGGCCAGUAUCGAGGUGGUUCCGCUGAGCUGGCGGGUAGGUGGCAUCGAGCCGUUUGGCGACAAGCGGCCCAGAGUAAUGGCGGUCACGUUGGGGGCAACUCCAACGCACAGAAUCCGGCUUA